RNAcentral lists this ribosomal RNA (508 nucleotides) under uncultured bacterium. RNAcentral describes it as "partial 16S ribosomal RNA". It matches the Rfam family "Bacterial small subunit ribosomal RNA", at positions 30 to 523 of the family's 1533-position model. The record is from RNAcentral.
AUUGAACGCUGGCGGCAUGCCUUACACAUGCAAGUCGAACGGCAGCGGGGGAGAAGCUUGCUUUUCCUGCCGGCGAGUGGCGAACGGGUGAGUAAUACAUCGGAACGUGCCCUGUAGUGGGGGAUAACUAGUCGAAAGAUUAGCUAAUACCGCAUACGACCUGAGGGUGAAAGUGGGGGACCGCAAGGCCUCAUGCUAUAGGAGCGGCCGAUGUCUGAUUAGCUAGUUGGUGGGGUAAAGGCCUACCAAGGCGACGAUCAGUAGCUGGUCUGAGAGGAAGAUAGGCCACACUGGGACUGAGACACGGCCCAGACUCCUACGGGAGGCAGCAGUGGGGAAUUUUGGACAAUGGGCGAAAGCCUGAUCCAGCAAUGCCGCGUGUGUGAAGAAGGCCUUCGGGUUGUAAAGCACUUUUGUCCGGAAAGAAAUGGCUCUGGUUAAUACCUGGGGUCGAUGACGGUACCGGAAGAAUAAGGACCGGCUAACUACGUGCCAGCCGCCGCCGUAA